CUCCGGGUGAUCCUGCCGGACCCGACUGCUAUCAGAGUGGGACUAAGCCAUGCGAGUCAACAUAGCAAUAUGUGGCAUACGGCUCAGUAACACGUAGUCAACAUGCCCAGGGGACGUGGAUAACCUCGGGAAACUGAGGAUAAACCGCGAUAGGUCAUCACUUCUGGAAUGGGUAAUGACUUAAAUCUAUAUGGCCCCUGGAUUGGACUGCGGCCGAUCAGGCUGUUGGUGAGGUAAUGGCCCACCAAACCUGUAACCGGUACGGGCUCUGAGAGGAGGAGCCCGGAGAUGGGCACUGAGACAAGGGCCCAGGCCCUAUGGGGCGCAGCAGGCGCGAAACCUCUGCAAUAGGCGAAAGCUUGACAGGGUUACUCUGAGUGAUUUCCGUUAAGGAGAUCUUUUGGCACCUCUAAAAAUGGUGCAGAAUAAGGGGUGGGCAAGUCUGGUGUCAGCCGCCGCGGUAAUACCAGCACCCCGAGUGGUCGGGACGUUUAUUGGGCCUAAAGCAUCCGUAGCCGGUUCUACAAGUCUUCCGUUAAAUCCACCUGCUUAACAGAUGGGCUGCGGAAGAUACUAUAGAGCUAGGAGGCGGGAGAGGCAAGCGGUACUCGAUGGGUAGGGGUAAAAUCCGUUGAUCCAUUGAAGACCACCAGUGGCGAAGGCGGCUUGCCAGAACGCGCUCGACGGUGAGGGAUGAAAGCUGGGGGAGCAAACCGGAUUAGAUACCCGGGUAGUCCCAGCUGUAAACGAUGCAGACUCGGUGAUGAGUUGGCUUAUUGCUAACUCAGUGCCGCAGGGAAGCCGUUAAGUUUGCCGCCUGGGGAGUACGGUCGCAAGACUGAAACUUAAAGGAAAUGGCGGGGGGAGCA
RNAcentral lists this ribosomal RNA (869 nucleotides) under uncultured archaeon. RNAcentral's name for it is "bacterial SSU rRNA". It matches the Rfam family "Archaeal small subunit ribosomal RNA", at positions 1 to 878 of the family's 1478-position model. The record is from RNAcentral.